CUGGCGGAUGCCUUACACAUGCAAGUCGAACGGCAGCACGGGCUUCGGCCUGGUGGCGAGUGGCGAACGGGUGAGUAAUACAUCGGAACGUGCCCUGUUGUGGGGGAUAACCAGUCGAAAGAUUGGCUAAUACCGCAUACGACCUGAGGGUGAAAGCGGGGGACCGCAAGGCCUCGCGCANNNNGAGCGGCCGAUGUCUGAUUAGCUAGUUGGUUGGGGUAAAGGCCCACCAAGGCGACGAUCAGUAGCUGGUCUGAGAGGACGAUCAGNCACACUGGGACUGAGACACGGNCCAGACUCCUACGGGAGGCAGCAGUGGGGAAUUUUGGACAAUGGGGGCAACCCUGAUCCAGCAAUGCCGUGUGUGUGAAGAAGGCCUUCGGGUUGUAAAGCACUUUUGUCCGGAAAGAAAACCUUCGUCCGAAUACGGUGNGGGGAUGACGGUACCGGAAGAAUAAGUAC
This 462-nucleotide ribosomal RNA is filed under the name Ralstonia sp. LCH2. RNAcentral describes it as "bacterial SSU rRNA". It matches the Rfam family "Bacterial small subunit ribosomal RNA", at positions 36 to 493 of the family's 1533-position model. Lineage: Bacteria; Pseudomonadati; Pseudomonadota; Betaproteobacteria; Burkholderiales; Burkholderiaceae. The record is from RNAcentral.